This 244-nucleotide long non-coding RNA is filed under the name Homo sapiens (human). Its description in RNAcentral is "non-protein coding lnc-CDH2-6:1". Lineage: Eukaryota; Metazoa; Chordata; Mammalia; Primates; Hominidae. The record is from RNAcentral.
AAUUCAAGGACCAAUUACCUGCUGAUAAGUGCAAAAGCUAAAAGAAGAGAUUUCCAAAAUGAAGGGGCUUCUGGAUAGAAAAGACAGCGAAACGGGAGAAAACAUUGGACAAACAGCAUCCUCUCUUCAGCAGGCAUCACUGAAGCUCUUCGAAAUGGCAUACAAAAAGAUGGCAUCUGAGCAAGAAGGCUCUGGAAAUUCUGGCACUGGGGAACAAAAGGAAGAUCAAAAGGAGGAGAAACAG